AGAGUUUGAUCCUGGCUCAGGAUGAACGCUGGCGGCGUGCCUAACACAUGCAAGUCGAGGGGAAACGACAUCGAAAGCUUGCUUUUGAUGGGCGUCGACCGGCGUACGGGUGAGUAACGCGUAUCCAACCUGCCCACCACUUGGGGAUAACCUUGCGAAAGUAAGACUAAUACCCAAUGAUAUCUCUAGAAGACAUCUGAAAGAGAUUAAAGAUUUAUCGGUGAUGGAUGGGGAUGCGUCUGAUUAGCUUGUUGGCGGGGUAACGGCCCACCAAGGCAACGAUCAGUAGGGGUUCUGAGAGGAAGGUCCCCCACAUUGGAACUGAGACACGGUCCAAACUCCUACGGGAGGCAGCA
Molecule: ribosomal RNA, 356 nt
Filed under: uncultured bacterium
Lineage: Bacteria
Description: bacterial SSU rRNA
Rfam family: Bacterial small subunit ribosomal RNA
Source: RNAcentral